RNAcentral lists this ribosomal RNA (290 nucleotides) under uncultured bacterium. RNAcentral's name for it is "partial 16S ribosomal RNA". It matches the Rfam family "Bacterial small subunit ribosomal RNA", at positions 355 to 638 of the family's 1533-position model. The record is from RNAcentral.
UAGGGAAUCUUCCACAAUGGACGCAAGUCUGAUGGAGCAACGCCGCGUGAGUGAAGAAGGUUUUCGGACCGUAAAGCUCUGUUGUUGGUGAAGAAGGAUAGAGGUAGUAACUGGCCUUUAUUUGACGGUAAUCAACCAGAAAGUCACGGCUAACUACGUGCCAGCAGCCGCGGUAAUCGUAGGUGGCAAGCGUUGUCCGGAUUUAUUGGGCGUAAAGCGAGCGCAGGCGGAAGAAUAAGUCUGAUGUGAAAGCCCUCGGCUUAACCGAGGAAUUGCAUCGGAAACUGCUU